RNAcentral lists this long non-coding RNA (574 nucleotides) under Physcomitrium patens. Its description in RNAcentral is "long non-coding RNA (PPAT_LNC003303)". Lineage: Eukaryota; Viridiplantae; Streptophyta; Bryopsida; Funariales; Funariaceae. The record is from RNAcentral.
AAAUAAUAAAUAAAUCCUAAAGAAUUCUAAUAAAAUCUUAGAUAAAAUUUUAAUCAAAUCUUUAUGAAAUCCUAUUUAAAUCUUAUACCAAACCUUAAUCAAAUCUUAAAUCUUUUUCAAAUCCUAAAAUAAUUCUAAAAAAAUUAUAUAUAAAUCGUAAAUCCUAAAUCAAUCCUAAUCAAAUCCUAAAUAAGUCCUAAAAUUUUAAUAAACUCUUAAUAAAUCCUAUAAUACACUGAAAUUACAAUUAAUUAUUGAAAUUCUAAUAUUCUAAAGCCAAAAAUUUCUUAAUUUUAUUGUUCAAUAGAUCUCAAAUUUUUCACAUUUCUCAAAAGUCAAAUUAAGCACAUAUGCCUAAAAUUUUAUUUCAACCCAAUUAACAAAUUGUCAAAUAUUUUAGAAACCCUCACAAGUUUUUUAAAUCCCAAAUCUCAAGAACUCAAUAUAUUUUAGCUUUAAUAAAUUAUGAAUAAAUCAUUAGAUGAAGCUUAAACUUAUAAAAUAAAUAGUGCAAUAAUAAUCACUUAAUUAUAAAAUUUUAGUUAUAAAUCAUUUAUAAAUAUUACACAUUUAU